CGCUGGCUGACUACUACUGGGUAUUAUUUUUGAUAUGUGUACUUGUCUCAUUCAACUGAAAGUAACAUUACACCAAUCACUUGACCCUUCUACUCAGCUAAAACAAAACACACAGAAAAGAAGGGACAGCUUUUGGGUUGAAUUUCUCAAUAAGUGCAAGGGAUACCAGGUAACCAGAAUAAAGCUACUUUGUAACCGUUACCUCUAACAUUACAAUAGCUAAAUGUUGAUAGCAAAAAAGGAGAAAUAGGAAUGAAAGCAUCUGCCAUUACUGCAAUUUGUAUUAGCUAUCCUGUUCACUUGUGUGACCCACCUCUUCUAAGGGGAAGCUACGGUAUUUUAUCAGUAAUCCUAGUCAAUCAGCUGAAAUAGGCAUUAAACAGAAACAGAAUUUGAAAAACCAUCCCUGUGUAUUUAGCAAAUAUGCAUCUUAAAUUUAGGGCCCAAAUGCUCACAGAUUUCCACUAGUGCCAUAUGGAAAAAACUAACACACUAAUGCCAAAGGGAACUAUUUUGUUCAAUGCUUUGUUUGGAUUUUGGGGGUUUGGUUCCAUAACCAUCCUGGUGACAUUCCUUUGAAAAUGGUUUAACAGAAAAUAUUCUACUAUACAUUGCUCAGUACUGAAGGAAAGGGGACAGUGCA
This 643-nucleotide long non-coding RNA is filed under the name Homo sapiens (human). RNAcentral's name for it is "HSALNT0065727". Lineage: Eukaryota; Metazoa; Chordata; Mammalia; Primates; Hominidae. The record is from RNAcentral.